GAGAUUUUGAAAUUCAUUAGGGAUUUUCGCAGCAUCUAAAAAAGCCCCACAUGCCACAGCAACAUCCUGUGCAAAAGCAUUGCAAGAAAAAAUAUACUCCUUUUUCACACAACCGACUAAAAAAGAAAAACAUAAACCGGACACUCUAUUUCCACAAAAACCAACCCUUUACUAUUUAUAAAGAGCCUUUUGGUGGGCAAGCAUGAGUAGGAAAGGAGGCCUAGCUUUAGGGCGCCAUGCUUUGGCCUCAAAAAAUCCCUUAACUUCCCAUUCUAUCUCUUUGUUUGCUUUUCUUUUUCACUGUGGAAUCGUGCCGGCACUGUAUAUAUUAAAAGAGAAACGUGCAUGCGGGAAUAUAAGAUUAGCUUGCCAGGGUCUCUACAGUAUGCGUGCAUCACAAUAUACAUUUACACCUGCUUCUCAAUCUCAGGAUAAAGCUUUCCCUACUUCAUAUAUUUCUCCUUAUUCUUCUUUCUCUUCUCAAACCGUGACCAUGGUGGCAGCUUUCAGCUUGUUUUCAUUGCUCCAAACAAGGAAGAAAUUUAAGCUUCCGUUUCAUUUCUUGCUUGAGCUGAGUAGCCAUUCAAUUAAGCUACUUGUCUUUCCAAGAUAAGAAUAAUGACACAAUUGAGGCAUCCAUGCAAGGGGAAUCAAGAGCUCCUGGUCCGAUUACUCUAUUUACUCUAUUGUCUGUACCAAUUUUAAUUAGUGGGAGUGUUGUCUUAAUAACUUAGAAAUGCGAUGAAUAAUAGUGGGAGUGCUUAUAAUAAUUAGUUAUAGCUUGCUGUUGCCGAUUUAUAAUUGAGGUCUUCUUAAUGCAGCAUGUCAGAGAUGUGAGAAUGUAAUUAAUUAAGUAGUAUUGUGUGCAAAUGCUUGCAAUGAAAUGUAAUAAAUUUCUUGUUCUUAUUUACUUUUGGUUGCUUAAAUU
This 928-nucleotide unclassified non-coding RNA is filed under the name Hevea brasiliensis (rubber tree). The record is from RNAcentral. Lineage: Eukaryota; Viridiplantae; Streptophyta; Magnoliopsida; Malpighiales; Euphorbiaceae.